GGGGCGAGGCAGGACGUGACCCAGCUGCCUCCCGAACAGAGAGGAGAGGAGAUUCCAGCCGGGGACAGCAGCUGAGAAGAACCAGAUCCCAGAGGCAUGAGUGCAAAGAACAAAAGAAGCAGAGCUUCCACCGUUUAUCCCUGCGUUGCCCCUGCUGCAAUCGCUUCUCCUGGGCCACAUCACCUCUCCCUGGGACCGAAAGAUGGGGCAGCCAGUGCUUCCAGACCAGGAACCCGGCGUUAGGGGCUGAGCCCUCCAGGCCAGGCCCCCAAGCGUUGCGGAACGUUGCUGAUGCCUGUGAAGGAAUCCGUUCACCUGCCAGUGAAAUGCAGUUGCGUCAGGGGUGGAACAUGUUGGCUGUUUGGAACAGGAAGGACGCCAUACCUAGUGGGAACGGCGAGGGAUUACCGAUCCGCUUGUCGAUGCAGCUUAGGUUAGACAAGAGCUAGUGUGACUCAGCCCUGCCCUCUAGAGGGGAGAGGAAGGAGUUCGAUCGCCAAACCCGUUCAGGCCAUCUGCUGGGACUGCCAACAGGCCGGCAAAAUCGAUGCUAACGAUGUGGAUGUCGUGUCUACUGGGAUCCCGACUGAGACCCACCAAACUCAUUUCACACAGGCCGCCGAUCCAUCAGCAAAGAGCGAAAUCUUUCCUUGGGUUGGCUUUGACUCAGUGAUCAGGUAAGGAAAGAUCUUUGUCGCUAAUUUCCUGAGCCAUCUUCCAAUCUCUAUGCAUCCAAUAGGCAAUUCCUGGCUGGCUGAGACUAACGGGAAAAUGACCCCAGCAUCAAAAGACAUUGAUGGCCUUUCUCCAUCCAAAGGCUUAAAAUGUGUCAUGGUCUCUUCGUUAUAGACCAAUCAUACUUUAGAGAGGGGACGACCCUGAUCCCGAAAGCCCUGUUAUUUG
This 903-nucleotide long non-coding RNA is filed under the name Chrysemys picta bellii (western painted turtle). RNAcentral's name for it is "lncRNA (ENSCPBG00000011217.1)". The record is from RNAcentral. Lineage: Eukaryota; Metazoa; Chordata; Testudines; Emydidae.